Molecule: long non-coding RNA, 937 nt
Organism: Lepisosteus oculatus (spotted gar)
Lineage: Eukaryota; Metazoa; Chordata; Actinopteri; Semionotiformes; Lepisosteidae
Source: Ensembl
AGUUAGAGGAGAGCUCACCUCCAGACAGGACGGACAACAGCAGCCCAGCCCAGAGCAUCAUGGGAUUGGUCUCUCUGCAGGGAGGGGGCGCAGAAGGAAGAGGUUAAAAACUAAAUUAAAAAAGGGAAGAGAGAGGUUCAGUACGGAGUAGAGACUCCGAUUCCGGUCCGUACCCGAGACCUUGAGACCCGACCCGACCCGGAAAUCGGUCCCUUCUCCUCCCACUGUAGAACUGUACAAAAAAAAGUCAGGUUUUACUAAGGAACCAGUACAGGUUGCUGUACCUGUGCUGAAGAGAGACACAGCGUUUCGGCUGGGGAGCUUUAUUCAAUAUUUGCAGCCCCUCUCCGCUUUUACAGGCUACAGUGUUUACUUUAAGGGAGGAAUAUGGCGUGGUUAACUUCCGUAUGAUCUGCACCGAAGCCAGUUACAGUCCCUGGAGAGAGCGACGCCCUGUCUUGCUGGACAGCUACCGAAGCAAAUAUUUCCUCGGGAGAGUCAUGCAACUGGCUGGGGUUAUAUUUCUGGAUUGAUAUUAUAUCUCUGGACUUUGGAGCACACACGCGAGGAGCAGGACCAAAGCACAGUAUCGCGGGCGCCACCUAGCGGCCGUUGGUGCUGCGAAAGAGGAGGACCGGCAGCUUCGCGGUUUCUCUCCCGGAGUUCGUCGCCCCGCAUUCGGCGUGAGACCGCCAGCCGAGGCCGUGGUUUCAAAGGAGGCCUGGCGGUCAGGGCGGUGGUGAGCCGGUGGGUCUCAGUCUCUCUCCACAGCCCCUUCAGCUCCUGUCUCGGUGUCGAAGGGGGCGUCCAAUCCCACGAUGCUCUGGGCUGGGCUUCUGUUGUCUGUCCUGUCUGGUGUCUCGGCGGCUCCUGUCUCCGUGUCGGUGAGGUUUGGGGGCUCAGUCUCUCUCCCCUGUGACGGAUCUGCCUACAGGGG